Non-coding RNA from Felis catus (domestic cat), 85 nucleotides. The record is from Rfam. NCBI's taxonomy places the organism in Eukaryota, Metazoa, Chordata, Mammalia, Carnivora, Felidae.
GCCUGGGUGGCUCAGUCAGUUGAGCGUCUGACUUCAGCUCAGGUCAUGAUCUCACAGUCGGUGGGUUCAAGCCCUGCAUUGGGCU